Arvicola amphibius (Eurasian water vole) is the source of this 4632-nucleotide long non-coding RNA. RefSeq lists it as uncharacterized. The transcript is spliced from 2 exons. The record is from RefSeq and is a predicted model, not a curated record. NCBI's taxonomy places the organism in Eukaryota, Metazoa, Chordata, Mammalia, Rodentia, Cricetidae.
UCGAGGUCAGCCUAGUCUACAAGAGCUAGUUCUAGGACAGGCUCCAAAGCUACAGAGAAACCCUGUCUCGAAAAAAACAAAACAAAAAACCCCACAAAACAACAACAACAAAAGGUUUAAGCUCUUUAGCUAUUGUAAUUACACAUAGUAUCAAAAAACUAACAAAUCAGAGAAGUUAUUUGUGAUGUUUGGCACUAGAUGGGUUCAUGUGAACCCAGAGUAAGCCCAGCUCCAGCAGAGGUGAACAGAACAGCAAGUACCUUGGGAAUCUGUCAGACUCAAGCCAGCAGACCGCAGUGUGAGUUGUGUCAGGACUCAUGAAGUGAGCACGAGGCUUGGGUUCCAUCCUUAGCACCUCAAAACAGAACAACCCCCCCCCCCCAAACAACAACAAAAACCCAAGGUGAAGGCCAAGCACAAUGUUUGUCGCCAUCAGCAGAGCGCACCAAUGGGCACCAAGUCGUAGCUGUUUACAUUGCUGGGCUGGGAGUCAUUUACAAAGGCUACUGGACAAGUGGAAGGCAGACUAUCUUUAAGUGGCUAAGGUCUCUAGAGACCCUUCCUUCCCCUCAGGAUCUUAGGACCCAAACAUGAGCACAGUCUCACAAUGACUUCCAGUGUCUGGAGCAGGCCACUGAGACACACGACGGUGGCUGUUUCGCCGAGGAAAGCCAAAGGGGGCCUUGGGGGUUGAGGCAACUAGGCAAACACCUUAAGGCCAACAGCAAAGGGGAUUGUUGGCGGGCACCCCCUACCAGGGGCACCUGCCACACCAGGCAGCCAGAGACCCAGUUGGCGUGACACAUAGGACUGGGGUUGCUUCUGGUGUCGUCUGGCCUGAUUCUAGGUGGGUCCCUUUCUGGAAGUUCAACCAGGAAUAUAUAGUUUGCAAAGUAUUUUACCCAUGGAAAUAAAUUAGAAAACAAAAAUAGUCUCAGGAUAUGGGAAACGGAGGUAGGAGGAUCAGGAACUCAAGGGCACCCGGACUAUACAGUGAGGCUGAGGUCAGCUCACACCAAAUGAAACGAAAACCUCCAAAAAGAAAAAAAAACAAAAUCCAGAGCUCCAAAGAUCAAGCCAAUGGUUGUGUUAUGUCCCAAAUUCACGGACUUACCCAUGUCUACACCAUGUCCCGUAGAAGCACCCGUGGGUACCCAGAGACAUUCGGCUACACAGAGGCAGAAGUGAGGAUGGAUGAGAUGUGGGGGAGAGGGGAGUAGAGACAAGGCAAAUUAAAAUUAAGAGAAAGAAUGCCAUUGAGAAUCCCCCUGAAUAUAAUUAGGAGACCCAAUAAUGGGUAAGUUUGGCUGAGUGGCUGGGGAAGCCCAAGGCACCAACUAACACUCCACAUGAAAAGACAAAGAUGUUGGUGGUGUGGAGCAGGGGAGGUGGCUGGGCAGGGGCUGACGGCUAUGGGGAGGGAGCUGCAGUGGUUGACGGUACCAUCUCCAGCAAGAGAAACACAAGUGUUUGCCAUAGUUGCCUUGUCUCCCCACAGCCAUCAUGCUCAACAGACAGAAACACCUCCUCAGCAGCCCGGCCACACGGGGCUAGUCUGCUUCUAUGGCCAGGGCAUUGUUUGGUCCACUGCUCCUGAAGAAUCCUGAGGGGAGUGUGACAACUUGCACCUCUUUGCUGGGAUCGGAGAGUCUCUCUCAGAGCGUUCCACCCCACUGGGACAAGACCCUCUCCGUGGUGCUGAAAUAGCCGUCCUGGGUGAUACUGUCUUUCUUCUGAUUGGCCCAGAAUCAGGUCCUUGAAGAAAAAGGCCAGCCCUCUGCUGAGAAAGGCCUGGGUUUUGUGAGGUACUGUCCUCUGAUGCUAACAGAGCCAGAUGGCGCCUCGGGAGGCUUCUAUUGGCUCUGACAGAUAUUUCGCUCAGGUCUUCAAAAGCCUCACUUGACCUCUUUGCCUUUUCUCUGUUGAAAAGUGAACUCAACCUGUGGGUUCUUACGCCCUGGGGGCUGCCCGGGCUUCUAGAACUACCUCUGUACACAUCUACAGCCCAGGACUCAGUGGGGCCAGUCUGGCAAAGCUGUUUCCCAGAAGACAGGCUACAUUCCUGAGCAAGUUUGUCAAAUUUCAUUUCAAUUUCCCCAGGGAGCAUCCUUGGUCUGGGAACUAUUUUACCAGGUGAAAUUAGCAACGGGAAUGCCUUCGCUCCAUUUUCUUGCUCGAGACAGUUCAGUGUGUUUAAGUCCAAACACUUCUGAGGAGUCCCGUGAAGCGCCUUCCAAGAUGGACUGCAUUUAUGGACUUGGAGUUUGCUUCCUUCGAGAGCUCCCCUUUCCAGUUUUAAGUCUGUCUUGGGGGGCACAAUGUACGGUAAGUUGGUGCAGUUUCUCAGUAUAGUGGCCUCUUUCCCUGGCUCUGAGCAGGACCCCUUCUUGGAGCUCCUUCGGGAGGGCUUGCUCCCGUAGCAGUAUGUCCUAUUCAAGUGUACCCCACUCUUUCGUGAGAGCCUCCUCCUGAGGUUCCAGUUCUGGUUGAUGUAGGUCUUGGUGGAGAUGAUGCACGAUGGCUUUAGGCUCAGCAGCCUACUCAUCGAAUGGAUCAUGCCUUCAUACAUAUCACUGACUGUCACAUUGCAAAUGUCAUCAGCCUCAAGGGACUGGUUGCUUAAAUUGUUGCUGCUGGUCUCUAGUAAGGAGAAGCUGUCAUUUCUAGGUAUAAUGGUCACAUCAGCUGAAGUUGACUCUUUUGGGCUACUAAAGCUGUCUGUAGAGAUACUAUCCUGGCAUCCUGGGAGAAAAAUAUACAAAGUCAGGGUAAACCAUGGCUCAACUUGCCCGUACUUAGAGAAGGUCGGGGAGCUCAAGAGGGAUCACAAUCACAUGGUUUAAAAUAUCACGAAGUAACCCUGAGGAUGUUAAGGAUGUUAAAGGGAGACUUUAUUUUAGCAACCAAAAUUAGAUUUUGACUUUUCACCCCAGUUUUGCAAGAGGAGCCUUCUCCCCCUCACACUGAUUAUAGAUGGCUGUCAACUCAAAGGCCAAUACAAUACACACACGGAUUAAAAACUUUAAAAAAUGAAUUAGAAAGGAAAAUUCUAUAAACAUAAGCAUAUUCAACCAAAAAAGCCAACACAGGGGCCUGGAGAGAUGGCUCAGGGGUUAAGAGCACUGGCUGCUCUUCCAGAGGACCAGAGUUUGGUUCCCAGCACCUGCAGUGGGCAACAAACAAAUGCCUGUGGCUCCAGCGCCAGGGGAAUCUGGACUCUGGUCUGUAGCACCUCAACACACACAUGCACAUGUGGAACAAAAAGCCAGUAAGUGACCCCAAACUCCUGAGCUCUACAGGGAUGGCUGGGAAGACACGUUCCUGUGCAAGGUGCAGCUUUGACUGCUGCAUUACAUGACGAUUUCACGGGUUUUAAGAGGUAAAAUCUAUCCUACGGAAACGGGAGAAGCCCAGCUGGGCACUCAAGACAGGUGGACAGCAUGGAAAACAGCAGCGGUGGCACUCGGGGGCUGCUAAAUGCAACGGAGCCGUCGGAGUGGGUCCACGGUCAAAAUAACAAGAAUGGCUGCAAAGGACACACUGUGCCUCAAUUGGUAAAAUUAUAUCAUGCCAAUGAGAAGUUUCUGGCACAUUCUAAACUUGCUAUAGUCACGGAGAAUCACCUGGUUCCUGGAAAGAACAUGUGAAGCAUUUAGGGGUGCUACAAAUAUGAGCUAAGUAAAUAUAGAGUGCUCAUGUCCAUACAUAAGUGCCAGGGAGGGUCAGUGAAGGAAUGAUGAUCAGUGUAACCUGUGUCACACAAGAUGGACGGCCACUGGUUACCCCUGUGCUGCUAGACUCAAAAUGUUCACACCGAGGGCAAAGAGCUAUAAAACACCUGGUAUCAUGACACAGAGGGGAAACCAGCUCACUAUAAAAAUUUGCAGGAUAGCCUGGGCUACAGUGAGACUCUACCGAAGUAGUCUUUAUGUUCUAGGAUAUGCACACGUCACUAAGUUUAUGUUGCUGAGACACACCCCACAUUGAACACUCACCAUAGGUGGUGCCAAGGGCCCCAAGUCUCCACAGAUAAAAGUUCAUGUAAAAUCACUCCCUCAUACUCACCAGGUUCUGGUGUGACAGGUGAGGAAGGAACCCAAGUCAUGAGUGUGUCUUUUCCGUCUCUCUUCUCGCCGUUCUGAAAUCAGAGCCAAUGAUGGUAAGAGUUUGGGAUGUUAAGACCUUGGACUUAUGGAACUGGGUUCGUCCUAAAAAUAACAUGGCAGUGUAUCUGUAACAUGACAGUGGCCAGAGGGAAGGGGUGUUCCUAAACAUUUGAGAACUCUGUCCUCAAGGACACAGCCACAUUUCUGGCAGCUACUCCCUGGCCGACCAUCGAUGGCUCUUGUGUGGUGAUCGGAAAAGACAAUGGCCCCCAAUGGAGUGACACUACGAGGAAGCAGGGCUUUGCUGGGGAAAGUGUGUCACUGUGGAGGUGUGGGCUUUGAGGGUUCAUGUGUGCUCAAGCCACGCCCAGUGAGACACUCCACUUCCUGUUGCUGCACAUCCACACGUAGCAGCCCCUUCUCCAGCACCAUGUCUGCCUGCCUGCCACUGUGUUCGACAUGAGGAUAACGAACUGAACUCCCGAAACUCGAAGCCACCACCUCAAUUAAAUGUUUUCCUUUGUAA